Molecule: ribosomal RNA, 721 nt
Rfam family: Bacterial small subunit ribosomal RNA
AGCCCAGCUUGCUGGGUGGAUUAGUGGCGAACGGGUGAGUAAACGUGAGUAACCUGCCCUUAACUCUGGGAUAAGCCUGGGAAACUGGGUCUAAUACCGGAUAGGAGCGCCUACCGCAUGGUGGGUGUUGGAAAGAUUUAUCGGUUUUGGAUGGACUCGCGGCCUAUCAGCUUGUUGGUGAGGUAAUGGCUCACCAAGGCGACGACGGGUAGCCGGCCUGAGAGGGUGACCGGCCACACUGGGACUGAGACACGGCCCAGACUCCUACGGGAGGCAGCAGUGGGGAAUAUUGCACAAUGGGCGCAAGCCUGAUGCAGCGACGCCGCGUGAGGGAUGACGGCCUUCGGGUUGUAAACCUCUUUCAGUAGGGAAGAAGCGAAAGUGACGGUACCUGCAGAAGAAGCACCGGCUAACUACGUGCCAGCAGCCGCGGUAAUACGUAGGGUGCGAGCGUUAUCCGGAAUUAUUGGGCGUAAAGAGCUCGUAGGCGGUUUGUCGCGUCUGUCGUGAAAGUCCGGGGCUUAACCCCGGAUCUGCGGUGGGUACGGGCAGACUAGAGUGCAGUAGGGGAGACUGGAAUUCCUGGUGUAGCGGUGGAAUGCGCAGAUAUCAGGAGGAACACCGAUGGCGAAGGCAGGUCUCUGGGCUGUAACUGACGCUGAGGAGCGAAAGCAUGGGGAGCGAACAGGAUUAGAUACCCUGGUAGUCCAUGCCGUAAACG